Molecule: transfer RNA, 65 nt
Filed under: Dipodomys ordii (Ord's kangaroo rat)
Lineage: Eukaryota; Metazoa; Chordata; Mammalia; Rodentia; Heteromyidae
Rfam family: tRNA
About the family: Transfer RNA (tRNA) molecules are approximately 80 nucleotides in length. Their secondary structure includes four short double-helical elements and three loops (D, anti-codon, and T loops). Further hydrogen bonds mediate the characteristic L-shaped molecular structure. tRNAs have two regions of fundamental functional importance: the anti-codon, which is responsible for specific mRNA codon recognition, and the 3' end, to which the tRNAs corresponding amino acid is attached (by aminoacyl-tRNA synthetases). tRNAs cope with the degeneracy of the genetic code in two manners: having more than one tRNA (with a specific anti-codon) for a particular amino acid; and 'wobble' base-pairing, i.e. permitting non-standard base-pairing at the 3rd anti-codon position.
Source: Rfam by way of RNAcentral
GGUGGCUCAGUGGUAGAGUACUUGCCUUACAAGCAUGAGGCCCUGGGUUCAAUUCCUCAGCACCA